This 1836-nucleotide unclassified non-coding RNA is filed under the name Hevea brasiliensis (rubber tree). Lineage: Eukaryota; Viridiplantae; Streptophyta; Magnoliopsida; Malpighiales; Euphorbiaceae. The record is from RNAcentral.
AUCUUGGUCUUCCUCCUACGCGAGCUUCAAAUCACCCGAUACUAGGAGCAAAAGAUAGCACUACCAUCACAUGUUAAGAGAUGGCUUGGAAAGUUCUCCUUCAGGUUUUGUUUGCACAAGUCUUCAAUGUUCUUUCCUGGCCUUCAUUUACCUUGCUUUGUCCCUUGUAUGCUUCGUUUUGGGCUAUGGAGAGUGAUUCGCUGGCCAAUAGUCAGCAAUGUCUGACUUUCUGGGUUCUUUUUGCUCUUCUUGCUAUUUUGGAGAAGGCACUUGCUAAGCUUCUACUAUGGCUUCCUUUCUGGCCUUAUGUCAAGGGGGUAGUGACCGUCUUGUUAGUGGUACCUUAUUUUGGUGGUGCUUCUUAUGUUUACAAGUGUUUUGUGAGAACUCAUUCAUUUAAAGUUUCACACAUAUUCUGUUUGAUAUGGAACAUCUUGUUCUUCUCAAUGAGGAAAAGUUUCUCAUUCAGUGGGCAGAACAACUUUGUUGAUGAGAUAGGUAAAAACAUAAUUGUCGAUGGACAAGAAGAACUGCAGAAAUCUAUUGUUUUCCAGGGAACAUUAAAGCCUAAUUAUGACAACACAGAGAGGGAUCGUACACCGAUUAUUUCAAAGAAAGUCCAAAAGGAGUGGAGUUGCUCACUUUGUCUGGUAAGCACUACCAGUGAAAAAUGUUUAAAUAAACACCUGCGAGGUAAGAAACAUAAGGCAAAGCUAGAAGAAGUGAGAGCUGAAGAAUUGGCAUUGAAGUCAACAUACAAUUCGUUUUAUACUGCAUAUAGAAACAAAAGGAUGGUUUUCGUUGGAAACUUGGUCAAUCUUGGAAAGUGGAGCAGGCUAAUAAGCCCUAUCAGACCAAUUAGAUUGUGCAAAUGGGAAAACCCAAAUGUGGGAUGGAUUAAAUUAAAUACCGAUGGAUCUAUAGAUCAAGAAAAUGCUCGUUUUGGUGGUUUGCUUCGUGAUUACAAAGGUGAUGCAAUAUGUGCUUUUGUGUCUAAAGCUCAUCUGGAUGAUAUUUUCUUGGUUGAACUAUGGGCUGUAUGGAGAGGUCUUGUUCUUGCUUUUGGUCUUGGGAUUAAAGCAGUGUGGGUUGAGUCUGACUCUAUGAGUGUUGUGAAAACCAUUAAUGGGGAGCAGUCUCAUAGAAGAAAAGCUGAUAGAUGCUUGAAGCACAUUUGGCUCCUUUUAAGGAAGUUUGAGAACUACCAAGUGUCUCAUUCAUGGAGAGAAACUAAUAAAGCAGCCGAUUUCCUCUCAAAAAUGGUUCUGGAGAAAACUGAUGUAGUAUUAUGGCCUUAUGAUUUUCCUAGUGGCCUUCAAAAUAUCAUCAAGGAUGAUGCUCAAGGAAGGAUAUAUUGCAGACGACAACUUCAGAUUUGAUUUACCUUUGCAUUUCCCACUAAAACUAAAAUGAGAAGGGGGAAAAUCUACAAGAAUAUAAUCAAGGGUGUAAAUACGUGACUUCAUUCAAGAGGAGGUUGGCUUAGGAUUAUUAAAUAUGACUUCAAUUGGCCAUUUACAUGAUCUCUAAUUACUGGAGAAACAAGCAGUAGCAAGCAAUUAAUUUAUUUUUAGCUAGCUAUUUUGUUUGUUAGUUUGCAAGUUCUUGUAAUUUGCUAGUUUUGUUUUUAAUUUAAAACUGACAACGGGCAAACUAGUUCCAUCCUAUUCUUCUUUCUUUCUCCUUUCUUCAUUCUCUGUAACUGUAUCUGGUAUAUCUGCUACUUUUUUCUGAAGUAAUGAGAGAGUUCCAUAUUUCUCUCAAUCAGUUUUUGUAGUAUGGUAUCAGGGAAUUUUUUGGUUCUUCUUUCAUCUGAUAGACGGUUUCUUUUUGAGA